GGCGUAUUUCCGGCAGCGGAACUCGACCACAAACUCAAGUGAUCGUCGAUUACACCGACGCCCACAAAGCCGACUACGGGGUCGAGCCGAUCUGCCGGGUCCUGAGCCAGGCCGGUGGGUAGAUCGCCCCG
Regulatory RNA element from Rhodococcus rhodnii LMG 5362, 131 nucleotides. It matches the Rfam family "ALIL pseudoknot". Lineage: Bacteria; Bacillati; Actinomycetota; Actinomycetes; Mycobacteriales; Nocardiaceae. The record is from Rfam.